This 68-nucleotide transfer RNA is filed under the name Rosa hybrid cultivar. RNAcentral's name for it is "tRNA-Phe". Lineage: Eukaryota; Viridiplantae; Streptophyta; Magnoliopsida; Rosales; Rosaceae. The record is from RNAcentral.
UUCAGGUAGCUCCGCUGGUUAGAGCAAAGGACUGAAAAUCCCUUUAUGAGUGGCACUACCUGAAUCCA